Molecule: ribosomal RNA, 253 nt
Filed under: uncultured bacterium
Lineage: Bacteria
Description: partial 16S ribosomal RNA
Rfam family: Bacterial small subunit ribosomal RNA
Source: RNAcentral
UACAUGGGGUGCAAACGUUGCUCGGAAUUAUUGGGCGUAAAGCGCGCGUAGGCGGUUACUCAAGUCGGAUGUGAAAGCCCUCGGCUUAACUGAGGAAGUGCACCCGAAACUGAGUAGCUAGAGUACUAAAGAGGGUCGCGGAAUUCCCGGUGUAGAGGUGAAAUGCGUAGAUAUCGGGAGGAACACCUGUGGCGAAAGCGGCGCACUGGACCACAACUGACGCUGAGGCGCGAAAGCUAGGGGAGCAAACAGG